CCUCAGUAAAGAUCUUGCCUUUGGAAACAUCUUACCCCUUGGCAGCUCUCCAGAGUUCAGACUUGGCAGCAUCAAGGACACAACACAAGGGAUGAAAUACACAGUUCCUGCCUUCAGAAGUACUGUUUGAAGGGAGAUGGAUGGUUACAGCAGCCAUCUUACUACAGUGUUGUGUUGUGGUGAGAGUAUGAAUACAAAGCUAUCAUCACGUGGAGAAACAGCAUUUGAAUCAGACUGUGUUGGGCUCAUGGAAGGCUUCCUGAGAAAGCAGGCAUUUUGGAGAUCAAAGAUGGGUAGAAAAGAUGCCUCCACUAUAAAACUUCCUGUUGAUCAGUACAGAAAGCAAAUUGGUAAACAAGAUUAUAAAAAAACCAAACCUAUUUUACGAGCAACCAAAUUAAAAGCAGAAGCAAAGAAAACAGCAAUAGGGAUAAAGGAAGUUGGCCUCGUACUUGCAGCUAUAUUGGCCCUCCUACUGGCUUUCUAUGCUUUCUUUUAUCUCAGACUGUCCACAGAUGUUGACCCUGAUCUGGAAGGAGAUGAAGAUUAGCUGAACGGCAAUCAAUGCAUUAAAGGGAAAUAAUUUUACAAAAGCACCCCUUGGGACCAAUACUUUCUAAAGUACUGAAACUGGAACAUCUUGAAUCCUUUCUGCUGAGAGGACUGGAAAGACCCUGUUUUAGUGAGCUAUAUCAUGAGUCCAGACACCUGGUAAGUCUGUCCGUUUUUUUCCAUUAUGUUUUUCUAUUUUUCAUUCAUUUAAUAACCAUUAAGCACUUAUCAGGUACUAAUAAGUCAUCUUUCAAAUUCCCCAUCUAUACACAAUGUUAAGUAGUAUAGAAAAAGAUGGCUCUGCUUUUUUCAUAGUGAGAAAUUCAGAAUGUUUCAGAAAGGAACUGAUAUUUAAGUUCAUUAAUUUUCAUUCAAAAAAUAUUUAUUGAGCUCAUUUGCCACAUGGCAGAACUGUACUUUAUGCUUGCAACAAAUCCUUGAACAUUAUGAACAAGAAAGCAAAAAUAGUACUCUUGCUCUCAUGACAUAUGACUUUAGAGAUGGUGAUGGUUUCAUCAAACAGAAAAAGAGGGUGAAAAAGGUAUUCCAAGUGAGAAAAAAAACCAAUGAAAGAGCACAAAGACAUAUUAGUGCUUGGCCUGUGGGGUAGGAAGGUUAUGUCCGUUUGCGCUCAUUGUUAACCUUCUUUCCUUCCUCUGCCUAAAACCAUUUUCUCUUACUUAAUCUGUAAAAUGCCUACAUAUCUAUCCUUCAAGAUUUAUCUAUUUCCAGAUAAAUCCCCAGACUUUCCCCACAGAAGCCACCCAAGGCUAAGUUAGGUGAUUCUUCUCUUACAUAGAAUCUAUUCCAUGAUUAUCCAUUUAUGUGCCUCUUAACUGGACUCUGAGGUCUUUAAGGAAGGAACUCUGGGUUUUAUUGCUUUAUCUCAAAUGCCAAGCGCUGCACUAGACACAUGGUUUAUUCCACAGUAAAUAUGUUUGAAUAAGUACUACACCUCAUUCCCAUAGAACAGGAUUUCUCAGCUUUGACAUAUUGACAUUUUGAGCCAGCUAAUUCUUUGUGUGGAGAUCUUGCGAAUUGUAGGAUGUUUAGCAGGGAACCUAGAUGCUAGUAUGCAACUAGAUGCCAGUGGUACCUCCUCCUGCCCCUAGUUAUAGUUGGAGGAAGUCCAUCAAGAGGAUGUGACCACUGGUUGACCCGUGAGCUGCACAGGAGCGAUGGGCUAGCUGAGGCCCCUCAGGUGGGCCCCUGUCUUUGGAAUGUACUUCCAUCCUCAGCAGGUUUUCACAGCCAGAAGCGUUAGUUUUCAAGGCUGCAACCUCGACCGAGCAACGUGGGCAGUACACUGACUGAACCCAGGAAAGGAGAAGGACUUUAAGAUACCGAUGUUAUCCAACAAUCUAGAACUUUUUUUCAAGAAAUUUUAAACACACUGUAAGACAAAACUCCUAAACCAGGAAAGGACGGCCCUUCCACCUCCUUUUAUACUUCAUAUGGAUUGCAGACUUCGAUUUCCUCCCACCAGCAUUUGCCCUACUUUUCCUAUCUGAAGAUCACUCUCCUUGACAACCAAGGCAGAAAAAUCAUCAGACCUUAUCAGAUCUGUUCUCUGCUUGUCAUCUGUCAGCAUUGUACAAUUGGACCUGAGCCACAGGCAAACCUGGACCUUCCCUGCUCUUAUUUGGAAUAUAGUUUUCCCUGGAUCAUGCUAUGACUGGAAAUGUCUGCUCUGUCUGCUGUUGGUUGGCAUUCCAGUCCAGUGAAACUCCCCAAGAGUGUGACAGAGAAGCUUGGGUCCUGGAGAGAGUGCAUUCUUUGGAGCUAGAAAUCUUGGGAGCACCCUUCAGAGUAUCCUGUUGUAAUAAUCCACAUUGCACAUAUAUGUAAUUGAAUUCGGGUCACAAUUCAAGCCAAAUGCUCUGGAAUACCAACUCGCAAGCAUCACUCAACAGGAGAAUAUGUCUUUAUUCUGCACAGAGGAUGCAGAGAUGCUGUGCUCUAACCACGUGACAUAUAGUGCUUCUGAAUACCAAUGGUGUUCCCUAGGAAGAGAACUUCAGAUACAAGAAGCCCAACCUUUCAGGGACAGGAAUCCUUCAAAUAAAACUAGAGGCACAGAGCUACAAAUAUGUUGAUGUACGAUGAAUUCUAGUGGCGUACAGCUAAGAAAUAAGGUUUCUUUGUGGCUCAGCAACAUAAUCACAUGUGAGGCAUUGCCUCUAAAUCACAGGCAUUUGUCGUUCCUGCUAAUUGGUGAACUAACCUAUUAACAAGUCUCUUAAAUGUUGCACGAUUUAGAUAUGUGAGCGGAGAUAUCCUUUAUAUUUGGAAAUCCUGAAAUUUGUAUUACUUGCAUACAAAGAGCAGAGCAAAAUAUCUGCCUGGAGGUUGCUGUGCUGUAUUUCAUUCUGAACUAAAGGAGGGCAUUUGCUUUAGUCAUUGCCAGCUCCCACUUGUAACUUUAAAAGCCUUGAGCUGUGCACGCUAUAGGGUGUCAUACUAAAUUGUUGUCAGCAU
Non-coding RNA from Leptonychotes weddellii (Weddell seal), 3030 nucleotides. Lineage: Eukaryota; Metazoa; Chordata; Mammalia; Carnivora; Phocidae. The record is from RefSeq and is a predicted model, not a curated record.